GAUGAACGCUGGCGGCGUGCUUAACACAUGCAAGUCGAACGGAAAGGCUCCUGCUUGCAGGGGUACUCGAGUGGCGAACGGGUGAGUAACACGUGGGUGAUCUGCCCUGCACUUCGGGAUAAGCCUGGGAAACUGGGUCUAAUACCGGAUAGGACCACAUUUUGGAUGGUGUGGUGGAAAGUUUUUCGGUUUGGGAUGAGCUCGCGGCCUAUCAGCUUGUUGGUGGGGUAAUGGCCUACCAAGGCGUCGACGGGUAGCCGGCCUGAGAGGGUGUACGGCCACAUUGGGACUGAGAGACGGCCCAGACUCCUACGGGAGGCAGCAGUGGGGAAUAUUGCACAAUGGGCGCAAGCCUGAUGCAGCGACGCCGCGUGGGGGAUGACGGCCUUCGGGUUGUAAACUCCUUUCGCUAGGGACGAAGCGUUUUUGUGACGGUACCUGGAGAAGAAGCACCGGCUAACUACGUG
Molecule: ribosomal RNA, 467 nt
Filed under: uncultured bacterium
Lineage: Bacteria
Description: partial 16S ribosomal RNA
Rfam family: Bacterial small subunit ribosomal RNA
Source: RNAcentral